UAGGGAGGUCAGGGCCAGGAGCCCCCCCCCCCCUGAGCCCAGGGUAACGCUUAAAGUUGGGGGGCA
Molecule: non-coding RNA, 66 nt
Organism: Rattus norvegicus (Norway rat)
Lineage: Eukaryota; Metazoa; Chordata; Mammalia; Rodentia; Muridae
Source: Rfam